GCCAGGCAUGGUGGUGCGUGUCUGUAAUCCUAGCUACUGGAAGGCUGAGGCAGGAGAAUCACUUGAACCCAGGAGGCAGAGGUUGCAGUGAGCCCAGAUCGCGCCACUGGACUCCAGCCUGGGUGACAGAGUGAGAUUCUGUCUUUA
This is a non-coding RNA of Nomascus leucogenys (northern white-cheeked gibbon), 147 nucleotides long. It matches the Rfam family "Metazoan signal recognition particle RNA". Rfam says of the family: The signal recognition particle (SRP) is a universally conserved ribonucleoprotein. It is involved in the co-translational targeting of proteins to membranes. The eukaryotic SRP consists of a 300-nucleotide 7S RNA and six proteins: SRPs 72, 68, 54, 19, 14, and 9. The record is from Rfam. Lineage: Eukaryota; Metazoa; Chordata; Mammalia; Primates; Hylobatidae.